GGUAUAUUUACCUAUUGAAAUCACACCUUGCUUCGUUUGGGACUAUUGCAUGACAGGAAGGCUUGGUGGUGAGAGAACCAUUGCUUUCAUGUACAGUAAGACUUUACGGAAUCGAACAAGGUCUUUGGUGUGACUACUGGCGCUUUAACAGCUGAACUACCCGUUUUUCUGUUGACAUCUUUGAACAAAUGAGCCACAUGCCUCUCUGCCUUAAGGGUUCCAUGGCAACCAGUGUGCUUUGUUUUGUUGGGAUGUAAAUAAAGACACAUCUGCCCCAAAAUUACCUGAUUCCACAGAUAAUAUAGGGGUAGUCUGACGGGAAACAUGAAAUCCAUGCUUGUCGAAGGUGGGUGAAUUCUUCUGCAGCGUUACAUCGAGGCUUGUCUGUGUUAUAAUUGGAGGCAUUUAAACCUUGAAGUAUUGUCAACUUUAUUGCACACUUGACAAGGUCCAUGCACAUUGCGCUAUCGAUUGUAGAGAAUCUAAUAAAUGGCGUCAAAUAAUUUUGAGUACGAUGAACAUUCUGUCCCCGACCUCAGGCAUGCUGUGAAAACCGCCAUAUGUCUAGAGGAGCGUUUGGUUAAGUAUGCAGCGGCAUUUAAAUGCAGUCAUAAACGUGAAUUAAUGGCAAGUUGAAAACAAUGGGCGAGCACAACUACUAUUGUAACCCAGGUGUAUUUAGUGCAGGCAUCUUUGACACGACUCUAAUAAUAGCUCAAGUGACAAUACUUUCAACAUCACUUGAAUUAUCGCCUAAAUAUAAACAUGUGACCACGUGACAGUCGCACCUGGAUACUGCGACCGUUGUCUGUCACCGGUGGUGGCAUCCCGAUGCGUGUAUCAAUCCUCGUUAUAACGCAACGAAGCCACACCCAGACCUUUCCCCUUGUCCGAACUAGGAAUAGAGAUGGCGGGUUGGUGAGGACCCAUCCCUACACGCUUGUGGUGGAGGCACGACAUUGUUACAUGUCCCACAUGAUGAAGAGCGUUACAAGCCCCUGUGACGUCAUAUAGCUUCAACACAGAGCUCUGCAACCGAGUCACUAAUCUGUUCAAUCAAAACAAAGCAACGUGUAUGCUUGAGGCAAGCACACGUUUAAUUAUACAUGACAUUUGUUGUUUUCAAUUUCUUUUUAAUUUAAAGAAAGCAAACCAGACUCAGGGAAGCAUUUGCAUGACGUCACCAGCGUCUGAAGGAUGCAUUCCGCCUCUUACAAGAAGGGUUGAGGGAAGGGGGAUUUGGUAGACCGAGCUAAUUCGCUGCCAUCCUGCCUGACAGUGUUCAAGUCCUCCAUCCUCUAUUCCGAGCACUCUCCACAACUGUCAGCUCUUGCAAUGCCUAAAACAUCAAAUGCAAUGUUCUACGUCCGUAAUGAACACCAUGUCCAACUUGAAAUGUUUAUUAAAUGUAGUGUGUGUU
Haliotis rubra (blacklip abalone) is the source of this 1420-nucleotide long non-coding RNA. RefSeq lists it as uncharacterized. The transcript is spliced from 2 exons. Lineage: Eukaryota; Metazoa; Mollusca; Gastropoda; Lepetellida; Haliotidae. The record is from RefSeq and is a predicted model, not a curated record.